This 391-nucleotide unclassified non-coding RNA is filed under the name soil metagenome. Its description in RNAcentral is "partial contains 5.8S ribosomal RNA, internal transcribed spacer 2, and large subunit ribosomal RNA". The stretch from base 1 to 122 matches the Rfam family "5.8S ribosomal RNA", at positions 35 to 154 of the family's 154-position model. The record is from RNAcentral.
GAUGAAGAACGUAGCGAAAUGCGAUACUUGGUGUGAAUUGCAGAAUCCCGUGAACCAUCGAGUCUUUGAACGCAAGUUGCGCCCGAAGCCAUUAGGCCGAGGGCACGCCUGCCUGGGCGUCACACGUCGUUGCCCCCCCAUCUACUCCUUCGGGAUGGCGGGGGGCGGAUGAUGGCCUCUCGUGCGCCUCGUCGCGCGGUUGGCCUAAAUGCCAAGUCCUCGGCGACGCACGCCACGACAAUCGGUGGUUGCGAAACCUCGGUUGCCUGUCGUGUGCGGUCGUCGCGCAUCGAGGGCUCGAAAAAAUUGCCGGGCUUCGGCUCGACUUUCAACGCGACCCCAGGUCAGGCGGGGUUACCCGCUGAAUUUAAGCAUAUCAAUAAGCGGAGGA